CAAGAAUUUGAGGAAGUUUCAAUUCCUCCUUACUUGAUGACUGGAUCUUCAGAUGCAUUGUUCGAUUAUAUUGCUGAAGCACUUGCUAAAUUUGUUGCUACAGAAGGUGAAGGAUUGCAUCCUUCACCUGGUCANNNNNNNNNUUACCUUUUCAUUUCCAGUUCGGCAAACAUCAAUAGCAUCAGGAACUCUUAUAAAAUGGACAAAAGGCUUCUCCAUAGAGGACACGUUUGGGCAAGAUGUGGUGGGAGAGUUGACAAAAGCCAUGGAAAGAGAAAAGAGUUGGCCUUGACAUGCGUGUGGCUGCUUUGGUCAAUGAUACGAUUGGAACAUUAGCUGGAGGUAGAUACUGCAACCAGGACGUUAUUGCUGCUGUAAUCUUGGGAACUGGAACAAAUGCAGCAUAUGUAGAGCGAGCACAAGC
This 424-nucleotide unclassified non-coding RNA is filed under the name Hevea brasiliensis (rubber tree). Lineage: Eukaryota; Viridiplantae; Streptophyta; Magnoliopsida; Malpighiales; Euphorbiaceae. The record is from RNAcentral.